AUGAUUUGUUCAUGUCAAAACUCUUACAUUAGUGUCUCAGUGCUUAAGAUGACCAACAUCACAGUUUGAUUAAUGAAAAAUUCUAAUGGAUUGGUCAUCAACCAAGAAAAAAGUGUAAAUGAAUGAACCAAUAUGAGUCCAAGUUUCUGAAUGAGACUCCUGUAUUUUGGGAGGUUUUGGAAAUUUGGUUUUUAUUCAUUUAAAUGCAUGUAUUGUCACAAAUCUCUAAGUUAGACAUGGAGGAUAAAAUAACGACUAAAACUAGCCCCUAGAAUCAGAGAAAAAAUAUAAAUAUUCAAUUCUUUUUCUGUUACUCAAGCUUUCCUGUUAAUUGGCUUAAUUUCAAAACAAAAAGGUUACAGGAGUUCUCAAACACAACAGGAUGAAAAUAAGAGCUUUGGAAAGUAUUAUAGUAACUUUAAAACACACCUUUUAAUUUCUUAUUAUCAAGAACAUGAACAGAUUGAUAUAUUAGUGCCAUUUUUCUUGUGUCAGUAUAAAAUUAUAACAUUACCAUUUACCAUUUAUAGGAAGGACAAAAUUGAGUUCAAACAUAGCCCUUUCUAAUUACUUGCUGUGUGAGCUUUACAGAACUUUUAAACUUUCUGUGUCCAUUUCUUUUGCCAGUACAGCUCUAAAUAUAUCAGUAAAGUUUCUCCAUGCUGUGAGUCAACGCUUAAGAUGGUUACUUCAUGUCAAAAAUCUUCACAUUAGCAUCUCAAUGCUUAAGAUAAUCAGUUUAUGUCAAAAAUCUUCCAUUAGUGUUUGGCUCAUACUAAUUUUUCAAGAAAUGUUAAACAUUAUUAUUAUCUGCAAACAAUUCUAGGCACCUUCUGCAAAUUCAAAGGUCUCCAUUUUUCUGUAAAUCAGCCGAUGCUUCUGUUUUGUAGAAUGAUCGAGUAGAAGUUUCCAUUUGUACAAGUUCAUAAAUCCAUAGUUCUAUUUCUAAAAUUCUAAAUGUUCUGGAAAAUGGAAGAUUUUCUUCGCUCAUCUGGUGGUAAAAUCUGACCCGAUAUGACCUGAACUCAUUUGGCAGCAAAACCCUAUCUGCACUAGUGAGAGUCUAUUCACCGUAUUUAUACAUCCCUUUGGUAUAAAUAUUAAUAUUUUGGUGAUGGAGUAUUGUUCUAGACCCUGCCAAUGUUGCCUUUUCAAUUUGAAAAAUUCUGUAUUCUGAGACACCCUGGCCACUAAAUUUCAGAUAAGAUUUUUUGGGCAGACAAUAUAGAAGAGAUUUCCAUCUAUGGUUCUCACAAACAAGAUUUAUUAAGCAAGGAUGUGAGUCUCUCCAAUAACAAACACGCUGAACCAAUCUGGUUUCCAGAUCUAAAAAAUAUGAAAUUUGCUUCCUCCACAACAUUCAUUAUCCAGAUUAAUCUUCUCUUCUACUUGUUCCUGUGCUAUAAUUUCCAAGGAACAUUUAUUUUGGUUGUGGGAACAUUUAUCAGGCUGUAAUAAUUCUCCCUCCCCCAGUCCUUUUAAAUAAUGUUUCCUAGCUCAUUUUUGUCCACAGUCAUACAAAUACGAUGUGUAGAACAGGCCAAAACACUCAAACAGUCGAGCAUAAGUAGUAUGUCUCCUCAACCCACUCUUGAUUGGUUUUGACCUAACCUGGGAUCGGUCAAGUGAAGAAGCUGGGGUCUUGCCAAGUGACUAAUCCCAUUUUGUCCCAUGCACACAUCUUGUUAUGCAUGAACUACUGGUUGGAGGGACUGUCUGGUCUUCAGGCAAUUUAUGUUUUGUUCUUUUUUUUUCAGGAAGUGGAGAGCAGAUCACAAUCUAAAAGGCCUAUUCAUGUUUACUACUCAAGAUUUCCUGAGAUGACUAGGAGAAAAUUUUGUCUGGGUCUCCUUACUCGUGAAAGUUCAAGUCUUUCCAUGCAUUUUAAAAUUCCUCAAAUAAUCUCCACAUUAGCCACUAAUGAUAACUGUCCUUGAAAAUUGAAUGUACUUUUAAUUUCUAUUAGAAAGCAACAGUAUAGAUAAAACUGAACCUGAAAAUCUUGUUUGAGGUUAUUCAGAUCAUUUUCCUUCUCUUUUAUGGUCAGGAAUGCCUCAAGAUACAGAACUACUUAAUUAUUAAGAUGGCCACCAGUAAAGAGGUAAGUGUGGGUUUAUCACAGAUGUUAAUCUGAACAAGUGGAACAUUCCAACCCCAGGGAAGUAAAAACACAACUUUUGAAGUAUAUGAUAAAGUGACAUUGUUACCGGCCACUUAGGUUCAAAGGCUCAGACUCUUUUGCUGGCCCCUGACCAAAUCAAAUUAGACUAUUUAAGUAAAAAGGAAAAAGGAUUUUUUCCAAAACUGGCUCCAAAGAGAUGGAGGAGCCCAAUAGCUCAGGGGGAGAGGGAGCACAGAGAGAGGAUGUAGCUCCCCAUUCCUGCUUCAUCACUUUCAGCCACCAUCAGCUCACUGCCUCUUUGCGUGUGGGAAGGAAACUCAACUCCAGGCCUACCUCUUGGGCAUCUGUAUGUUCUCUCAUUUCUUUUGGACUGAGGAGCAGAGCGCGUUUUGAAUAUGUGCUCCUUGGGAGAAACUUUGGAGAAGUUGCUUAUCUUUAAAAGAAAAAAGCCUAACUUUCAAAAUUCUGUUUUGCAAUGACAGUUAUAGCAUCUGUAUUUGAAUUCUCCGGACUUCGGUUUCUAGUUCUGGAAAACAGGUAUCACAACAUUUACCUUUGCAGACUUAAUCCAUGUCAUGAUUAAAAUGCGUUGAGCUGGAAUUCAGACUCAUAUUGUUUGCAUAACCAAAAUGACCGAUCUCCUAGAAUUACUGUCUCUAGAAAAUAACAUUUAAAACAAAACAAGUACUCUGCUGGGGGUAACAUCAGCUGAUGACUGAUGUGGUAUGGCAAACUUUGAACAGUUUAACUUUUGAUGAUUGCACAGAGGCAGAAGAUCUGGACAUGAAAAAUUGGCCAGGCAAGUAGAUGUGACCUGUCAUUCACAGAUGUCCCCAGCCUCGCACCUGGGACCAAUCAGAGAGCUUGUGAGAACUCAGCAGGCUUUUGAUAGGACAGCCUAGAUCUGACACUGGCUGAGUAGUAGGAGAUACAAAAGAUGACCACCAUUAAGUUCUUGUCCACUAUACUCUCUCCCAGUCCUUUGCUCUCUUCUAGUAAAGGGUACUUUUCCCUUCUGCUUUGUUUUCUUCCCUCUCCUGCUUCCAUAGGAAUACCUCCACUUCCCCUGUUCCUUCUCCCUCAGGAUGGGCUUUCCUCUGUUGGAGGACUCAAGUUCUUUAACUUGUUUUUCUAGCAUUGAUUGUUGGAUAGAAGCAGGGAAUGAGGUCAUAAAGUUUAACAGAAGUUGGGGAACUCAGGAAGCUUUCUUAUGGUGCUCACAACAGUCUCCUAAUGAGCCCCAUCUAUCUCUCUGGGGGAUGUGUAUGCCAAAACCCUCAUCUCCCACUCUGAUGAAGACUGAAGGUACACAAGGCAACCUACCAUGGCCCUGGCAGAAAUCAUGAGUGACCCUGAAAAUCAUAAAACUAAGAAUCUACUCCUCCAAACCUCUUUAAAACCUAAGGUCUCUCUUCAAAAUGUAAGACUACAGUUCUGCUCUGAGUACAGAUAAGUAGAGUCACUAAUAACCCUAACCCACCAAAGCUUAAAUAGGCACUAUAUUAGAAUUUCUGUUUUUAAUUAGAUCCAUAAAAAAUGUGGGCAGGGAAAUCUUGUUAGGGCUAUGACUCUCAGGCACUUGCAAAUUAAUAGCCUUCUUACGUUUCCCAAAGGAAGUGUGAGAAAUGUGACCUGUUCCAUCUCAUAUUUGGACUCUACAUUUCCCACCUAAUAGUAAAAUUGGGAAUUCAUCAAUUUUUCCUGACAAAUUCACCUACCUUUCUCUCAUUGAACAGUCACCUCAGUGGUCCUUCAAAUGUAACUCUUUUCUUACUGACUUCUGAUGGGUUUUUUUUUUUUUCAAGUCAACUAGGGAAGUACAGACAUCCCAAGGUAGUUGGUAAGCACCUAACCAGAAGAUAGAGCUUACAGUGUCUCUUUUUUUCAGAGGAAGUAGCUGUAUAAUGACAUAAGCCUCGACACCUUCAGCUUUCAUAAAGAAUUGUGGGGGUUUAUGCUCUCCAGAGGAAAUAGGGCAGGAGAUUAGAGUGCAGAAAAGUGGCUGAGCAAGUGUGUGCGACCUGCCAAUCGUUGAAGAUCCAGGACGUGCACCCUAAACCUGCACCCGAGGCCAAUCACAGAAUGCUGUAUGUGAUUCUUCUUGAGUUUAAGCUCAAGCAGGUUUUUGGUAGGAUGGGAUUGCUGAAUCUACGAUCAGCCUGAGGAGUGGAGAAUACAAAAUGGCCGCCACUGAGCUCUUGCCCAGUGUGCUUUUUCUUUCACAGUGCUCCACUCUCACUUUGUAGAGUAUAUUUCAUUUUUUACUUUAAAUUGGCCUUUGUAUGUUUCUUUUCCUACCUUUAAGGACUGUAGCACCUUGCCAACUUUUGUGCUUGUUUUGUCUAAUCCUCUAUUGAGGACAAGAAGAAGCUAGAAAGAAUCUCUUGAAAGAGUUCCUGAUACUUCAGGACCCAGUAAUAGGGUCAGCUGUUGAUGAGGGCUGCCCGUGGAACACAGCUGCAGGAUUAUAGUAAGAGACCAAUGUCCUAAUUAAUAUGCUGGCCAAUGGGCCAAUCUGAAGCGGGUUCUCCCACAGUUAUAUGUGACCCACACAACCACACAGUCCACACUUUAGAAGUCUCAUCAGAAACAUCAUGGCAGUUCUUUGGGAACUGAGACGAGGAAAAUCCAGAGCAGAAAUAGUCUAGUUCCUUCAAAAAGCUCCUUAAUAGAGCACAGAAUGUCUCAGGAAUCCUGGAUGUAUAGAAUAUGAUAGCUUCAAUGGGCUCUUUCUUAUCACAAGAGAUCUGAUCCCUUGCUGAGAAAUCUCCCAGAGGGAAGAGCUCCCAGUGUUCUGUGACACCUGUAAAUGCAAAAUGUUGGUUUCCUAGGAGACUUCUGAUUCCAAAUCUCUCUGGUAUAGCUGGGCAUGAUGGUGCAUGCCAUCAUGUAAUCCUAGCACUCAGGAGACUGAGGCAGAAGGAUCACUUUGCGAGUUUGAGGCCAGGCUGGGAUUCACAGUGAGUUCAAGGCCAGCCUGAACUACACUGUGAGACUCUGUAUCAGAAAACAAGCAAGCAAACAAACAAACACCCAAAUCUCUUUGAUAUCAUCUCUAAACAUCACAUUUAAACAAAAUGUAAAGUCCAAUUUUUACCCUAAAUCCAGAAACCUGUUCUCAGUGGAGAUAAGAGAAAAACAGCUGUUUGACCCAUUGCACAAUACUGACGAGAAUCCACAAGGUAUGCCUUUGAUAGAGGCUAUUAGAAAAGUGGCCCAAGGCCAGUUCUGUUAGAAAGUAGCAUUUCUUCAUUUGAUGUCACCUGUCAACAGAUUUUGUUUUUGAGAAGAGGAGAAGAAAACUGAGUGUAGGGUACAACUGCAGUGACUCGUUUUGAACAUAAAACAGUUACUGUGACUUUGAUUAUCUGAAGACUCAUUUCCUAAUACUGAUAUGUAAAAAGCUGGCUAGGGUAUUUCCUUCCCUCUUCAAUUGGCUCUAAGCAUUGCAAAUAAGGCUAAUGGAGGUGAUGGUGUGUAAUUUCUAAAGCCAACAGACAGUCCUGUUUCCUCACAAUUGUUCUCUGUAUAUACAGGGCAUGAGCAGGGAGACGUUAGAGCAAAUAGCUCCAGGAAUGUCAGCUGGGUAAGAGCCUCAAGAUAAAAACGCUAUGACUCUCCAGGGCACAAGAGUUUGUAUAUCAAAAAUGGAAGUGACAGCCCCCCAAAAUAAUUCCAUUAUUACCUUAAUUGGAUUAUGUAAAUUGAUCCUUCUGCAUAUCUUUAUCUCUGCAAUUUACAGAGAUGCCAAUCUUGCACCUGGCCAGCCAGCUCAAGUUACAGAAUUCCCCUCAUCUUCACUAUCACUCAUCCCUGAGUCACCCCCACCUUCUUCACAAGAUAAUAAAUUCUGGGACAGACCUAGGAUCGAGGCCUUUGUCCUCAUGCCCUCACAAGGAUUGGACUCAGGACCCCUUGGCUGCCCUUAACUUGGAACAUGUCUUGGUGUCUUUACUCUCACUAUGGGUUGCUCUGGUGGUGGUAGAUUGGAAUUAACUUGCUGGGAUUCCAAUAACAUCUUAAUGGGACUACAAAUACAACUUUUUGGAUUGUGAGGAAAACUAGAAAGAGGAUUACAAUACUUGGAUGACUGAACUCCAUAUUUGGGUUUUCAAUAAUUGAGUAUAGGACUUGUUAUGGUUGACACAUCGUGUUAACUGAAAAAGUGCCUUGAAGUGCCCAUCCUAUGCCGUGCCACCCUGUCUUGGAGCCAGCUGAUCAGAGACUGAGACCUCCAAAAACUGUAAGCUACAUAAACCUUUCUUUCCUUCGUUUUGGAUGUUGGGUGUUUUAUCCCAACAGUGAGAGAAAAGCAACUAAGACAAGAUUUAAAAGAAUUAAGUGGCUAACGAGCUCCAAAAAGGACUUAAAAUAAAGCAAAAGACAGAGAAUUUCAGCAUUAAAUUUUGUUUUCUCAAUCUCACUGUGUGUUGUUCUCCCUGGUGUGGACUUAAAGGAAAAAAUAUUUUUCAUGUAAAUCUAUUUCUACCAGUAAAUGCAUAUGAGUUGUAGAACGAACCAGCUGGUGUUCCUGGGUGAAUACCGUAUAUAUUGUUUUAACUUUAAAUGAUCAGAAGGGAUGCACGACAGGUCAACUUCUAAGUUUAUAUAGGCAAAAGAUAAUUUCUCCAAAAUCCUGAGAGCAUCCUGGGUGGUUACAGGAGUGAGCCACUUAGGCUCAAGCUCCUUUGUUCAACCUUCAUCAGAUUAAGGUAGGCCACAUAUUGGGUAAGAAGGAUUUAUUUAAAGAUGACUCCAAGGAGACAGAAUAGCAUAUAACUCUUGAUCACCAGCUCACUAAGUUCAGGUCUGUUGGGGUCUUUUAUAAUAAAGAACAGUGUGGGAGGGCCUACACUGGAACCAUACACAUUUUCAGGUGAGUUACUGAAAGGUUCCUGCCCUAGUAUAAAUUACUGUACAAUUAUGGCGGUGUUCUAACAUGACGGAAGGCCAAAGUAGAAACGCUUACCACUUCUUUCUCCUUCAUCCCUAACUGCAACUCCCUUUCCUUUUUGGGCACAAAGAAAAUUCCAAUAAUUUCCUCACGCAUCAUUAAUGUCCUCUCCAUGCCUGACUUCUGAUCAGGGGUCCCCUCUGCCUCUCUGUAUCAGGUCGAUGGAGAUAGCCCAACUGUCAUGGUUGUGUGCUCCUUUCCACGUCCUCCAUAAACCUGUUCUUUUCUUUUCUUUUUACUUUUUUCUUCUCUAUUGCACCAGAAAACUAACAGCUACAUCCUUUCCUAAAAUCAGACUUCCUUCACCCUUACCGAAGGGAAUGCCAGAUGUCAAGAUCUGGGCAGAGGGGAUAUGAGGGAGACAUUAUGCCCUACACCUGAGGAAAUCUGGAAGCCACUUGACUCCAAAGGAAAAAAAUUUAACUUUCACAGUUCCAUUUUGCAGUGCUGGUUACAUAUGGAUGUUGUGGAACUUUAAAAUUAAAGACACCAAUCUCUAUUGUAGGAUCUGAUGAUGGGACUGAAUGUGAUGGGACAUUUGGAGAAGUAUUUUAAGAGUUUUUAUUGUGCUAUAAUUAGCUUGAAGGUCACAUUUUACACAAAAGUAAAUAUCUCAGUUGACUAAUCUAAAUUAGUCUUCAGGAAAGGAAAUAUGUUUCUCUCUCACAGCAGCCAUUUCCAAACAACCUCCAAGACCUAUUCCCCAUGGGUUAUACUUUGGCAGGACACUGCUGCUGUCCUGUGUGUGGGGUCAUGUGAAAUGCUGUGAUCUGGACAGUCAGUGGUCCUCCCUCACUGAUGAAUGCCACCUUCCUUAUGACUUCUGCAUGGGAAAAGAAAUGCUCAUGUUUAUUGCAGAAUAGAAACAACGGGAAUGUUUGCAGAAAUUAUGUGACCAACAACUAUUUGGACUCCUGUAUAUUUAGUCAGUUCUGAAAAACGACUAGUUUAACACUCAUAGCCUGUUUUUCUAUGGAUUUUCCUAGUAUAUAUCCAACCAUUGAUAAGUAUCACUGGAAGCUUCCGUUAGUACACUACGCUUGUUCAAUGACUAAGUUAGGGUUCUGCAACUGGAUCAUUAAUGCAUUGGUGGCUAAAAGAGGAAUCGCAUAUAUUAUGUACAUUACAAUAUUCAGAAGAAAGAAAUGGUCAAAGGAAAUUCAAACUUGAUGAGUUUGUUUCUAUUUACAUAACUCUUACAUGCUAUAUUGUAAUGUAUAACAGAACAUAAAACUAUAAUACUAUACUAUACAGUGCAAUCAGCAAAGAAUAUAAUACUAUAUGAACAAAGUAUACUGCACAAAAGAUUGAAAUAGACACUGAACUAUAAUGGCUAAAAAUUAUGAUAUGCAAAAAAUUAUUAAAGGUAAAUCACUUAGAAUAAAUUUAUAAUUCAAAUCUGAGAUUUUAGCCAAGAUGAAAUGCCACUUUUUUCUAAAACAGAAAACUCAAAAAAGUUGUAGAACGUUAAAUAUUCUCUUAUUUGUACCUCUUUAAAAGGAUUAAGAUGACUCCUAACUUAUAGAUUUACAGGGCUUUUUUCAUUGUUCUGAUUCCUUUAAUAAAUGGUAAGUCAGAUAUUUUCAAGCUCAAAAGAGACAUCAUAUUUUUAAAAAGCAGUAGGAGCAUUAAGGAUACAGUGACUGUGCUCAGCAUGCAUAUGUUAAGGCCCAAGGUUCAGUCCCACCCCAACUGAUUUUUUGUCAACCACAAUGAGAUAAUAUUUCAUAGCCAGAAAAGGAAACAAAGCGCAAACAAACAAACAAAUAAACAACAACAAAAAAACCCCAAAACAAACCAAAGGAAAAAAAAAAAGAAGAAAAGAAAGAAAACACACAGAAAAGCAAAAGAAAACUACAAAAAAUCUCACAAAAAUCUUUCAAGAUACCAAAUAUUGGCAAGGAUGUAAAAAUUUAGAAUACUAUAAAUUGUUAGUGUGUAUGUAAACUGGUACAGUUUCUGUGAAAACAGUGUGAUAUUUCCUCAAAAAAUAAACAUAGAAUUAUCAUGUGACCCAGUAAUUUCAUUUUCAGAUAUAAACUUGAAAGAAUCAAAGGACUUUAACAAAUAUUUGUACACCAAGACUUAUAGCAGAGCUACUGACAACAACCAAAACAAUCCUAAUGCCCUUAGAGAGAUAGAGAUUUAAACAGAAUACUCGGCUUUCAGAAAUUAUAGUGCAAUAGCUUUGCAUACUAAAACAUGUUGGAACCUUGACAUUAUAGAAAGCGAAACAGCCAAACACAAAAGCACAACUAUUGUGUGAUUCCACUUGUAGGAGAUAUCUGGAAUGGACAGACUCAGGGACAGAAAGGACAGCAGCAGUUUCCUGGAGAGGGCACAGCAGUUACACAAGAUAUGAAUGCACUUGAUGGCUCACUUGAAAAUGGUAAAGUCAAUAGUAUGAAUAUUUAACCACAAUAAAAUUUUUUUUUUUAAGAUGUGGGCUUUUUUAAUCAUUUAAAUCUGACAUACCCUUAACAUGAUACAAGUUUUCUACCUGCACUUGGAUUUGUCCUUAGGAAUUAUCUUUCUCCUCUGUUGGCUGCUUGGAAUACAUUACUUAAUUUCUUUAGCUUUCAAUUUUCCCUUCCACGAAACAAAAGAGUGGGACUGAGUAAUCUCUGGCUCUUGUUGAACUGCUAUUAUCACUGUGGAUAAUUAAAUGGAAAAUAUUAAAGCAUUAUUCUACUUCAAA
Cavia porcellus (domestic guinea pig) is the source of this 9774-nucleotide long non-coding RNA. RefSeq lists it as uncharacterized. The transcript is spliced from 2 exons. NCBI's taxonomy places the organism in Eukaryota, Metazoa, Chordata, Mammalia, Rodentia, Caviidae. The record is from RefSeq and is a predicted model, not a curated record.